Molecule: long non-coding RNA, 1256 nt
Organism: Pipistrellus kuhlii (Kuhl's pipistrelle)
Lineage: Eukaryota; Metazoa; Chordata; Mammalia; Chiroptera; Vespertilionidae
Exons: 3
Source: RefSeq, a predicted model, not a curated record
GUGUGUAGGGAGGGAAAAACAGAGUGUUAGGAGCCAUUCUGAAGGUUGAGAAAUAGCAGGGAAGUAGUGACUUAAUGUGGAAAGAAAUGAAGAGCCUCUAAAGAUGUUUUGGCUGUUGAAGAGACACUAUGAAAAGUGAUGCUACAGAAAGAUUCAUCUACAGAGGAGUCCAAGUGACUGGGAGAGAGGACAGAGCCACGUGAGAAGGUGUAAUCGCUGUUCUGGUGACAUCUGCAUUCAUGAGGGCGGGCGUGGUGGAGAAAAAGGAUGCCCCAACGGAUGGAGAAAGAAGCCCUCUGAUUGGUGGAAGAGAGAAGAUAUAGCCAGUCACCAGAUAUUGAAUCUGCCAGCCCCUUGAUCUUGGACUCUCCAGCCUCCAGAGCUGUAAGAAAUCCAUUUCUGUUGUCUAGACACCAUCCAGUCUAUGGUAUUUUUGUUACCACAGCCCGAACGGGCUAAGACGACUAGUUCCUGGGGCUCUGAUAAUGUCCUCAGGUCCCUGUUUUACCCCCUUCACCUCUCAACUCUUCUCUGUGUGUAUUAGCAGUCUGUUUUUGGCAGACUCUUCCCUAGGGUGCAGGGCACAGGAAGUAUUGUUUUAUGGUUAAGAACACAAUCUCUGGAGCCAGAAGCAGCCUUGAUUCAAAUCCCCAGUCCAUCCCUUAUUAAUUGUACAACCUAGACAUGUUUCUUUUUCUUUUUUUCCUGGAUGAUUAAUUUCUUUUAUUAGGUCCUUUUAAAAAUUUAUUCUUUAUUGUUGAAAGUAUUACAUAUGUCCCCUUCUCCCCUCCCCCCCAUUGACCCAUCCUAUCCUCCCUCCCCCGGUCCAGGUCUUCAGUACUCUAUUGUCUGUGUUCAUGGGUUAUGCAUAUAUGCAUACAAGCACAACAAGACAUGAAUCUUCACAUCCCUGUGCCUGUUUCCUUGUCUUUAAAUUUGGAGGUGAUGGUGGUGGUAGUGAUGGUAAUAGUCAUAGAUAAAAAUGUAUUGAGCACUUGCUGUGUGCCUGGUAUUCUUCUAAGUGCUGUAUGCAUACAAAUUCACUAAUCUUCAAAAACAACUAUGAGGUAGGUAGUAUUAUUAGCUCCAUAUUAUAUAAUAGAUGAGGAAACUGAAGUACAGAAAAUUUAAAUAAUAGCUUGCCUGUUAUGUAACUAAUAAAUGUCAGAGCCAGAAUUCAAACACCAGGUAGUCUGGUUCCAGAGUCAACACCGUUGAUCUCCAAACUAUGCUGUCACAUAUAACAGAAAUGACAA